UCCGGUUUAACACCGGCAGUCUCUCUAGAGUUCCCGGCAUGACCCGAUGGCAACUAAAGACAGGGGUUUCGCUCGUUAAGGGACUUAACCCGACAUCUCACGACACGAGCUGACGACAGCCAUGCAACACCUUUAUACGUUCCACCGGUUAAGGUGUCACUCUACUUUCAUAGAGCUAAUCCGUACACUUCGAGCCCGGGUAAGGUUCUUCGCGUUGCAUCGAAUUAAGCAACAUGCUCCACCGCUUGUGUGAGCCCCCGUCAAUUCUUUUGAGUUUCAGCCUUGCGACCGUACUCCCCAGGCGGGAUGCUUAUCGCGUUAGCUUCGGCACAGCCGGAUUGGGUACCGGCCACACCAAGCAUCCAUCGUUUAGGGCUAGGACUAC
This 385-nucleotide unclassified non-coding RNA is filed under the name uncultured bacterium. RNAcentral's name for it is "contains 16S-23S intergenic spacer region". The record is from RNAcentral.